UUGGCAUCUUUCAGAAAAGAAGGGGACCGAGGAAUGGGGGGAAGGAGAGGUAGACAAACAGUGAUAUUUGUAUCAAUUAUACUGGCCCAAUAGAUGGGAAGUUCUUUUACCAUAUAUACUUAAAAGCACUGAUUGCAGGGGCACACAAGAAUGGACAAAUAAGAAGCAUGGUAAAAUAAUUAUGUGAGCAAUAAGGGACCCAUGACUAAACUGUUCAAAAUUUUCAAUCCAAAAUUAUGUAAAAUCCCAUUUACUACUAAAUUCUAUAAAUUUAAACUAUUUAUGCAUACAAGUUAGUAUAAUCAACAUUUUCAUGUAGUUUGUCACUUUUUCUCUUUUAUAAAGAUUACAGUAACCAAGACUCAUCCAAUGAAAGCCAAUUGAAUCAGGUGAUCACCAAUUCUAGCACAGUAUGUUAAUAGUAAUGAGUUCAGGCUAUUCAUUCUUUAUGCAUACAAGUUAGUAUAAUCAACACUUUCAUGUAGUUUGUCACUUUUUCUCUUUUAUAAAGAUUACAGUAACCAAGACUCAUCCAAUGAAAGCCAAUUGAAUCAGGUGAUCACCAAUUCUAGCACAGUAUGUUAAUAGUAAUGAGUUCAGGCUAUUCAUUCUUUGGUGGCUAAAUUG
This 627-nucleotide long non-coding RNA is filed under the name Manihot esculenta (cassava). RNAcentral's name for it is "long non-coding RNA (MESC_LNC005378)". The record is from RNAcentral. Lineage: Eukaryota; Viridiplantae; Streptophyta; Magnoliopsida; Malpighiales; Euphorbiaceae.